This 497-nucleotide ribosomal RNA is filed under the name uncultured bacterium. RNAcentral describes it as "partial 16S ribosomal RNA". It matches the Rfam family "Bacterial small subunit ribosomal RNA", at positions 28 to 507 of the family's 1533-position model. The record is from RNAcentral.
GAUGAACGCUGGCGGCGUGCCUAAUACAUGCAAGUCGAGCGAACAGACGAGGAGCUUGCUCCUCUGACGUUAGCGGCGGACGGGUGAGUAACACGUGGAUAACCUACCUAUAAGACUGGGAUAACUUCGGGAAACCGGAGCUAAUACCGGAUAAUAUAUUGAACCGCAUGGUUCAAUAGUGAAAGACGGUUUUGCUGUCACUUAUAGAUGGAUCCGCGCCGCAUUAGCUAGUUGGUAAGGUAACGGCUUACCAAGGCAACGAUGCGUAGCCGACCUGAGAGGGUGAUCGGCCACACUGGAACUGAGACACGGUCCAGACUCCUACGGGAGGCAGCUGUAGGGAAUCUUCCGCAAUGGGCGAAAGCCUGACGGAGCAACGCCGCGUGAGUGAUGAAGGUCUUCGGAUCGUAAAACUCUGUUAUUAGGGAAGAACAAAUGUGUAAGUAACUAUGCACGUCUUGACGGUACCUAAUCAGAAAGCCACGGCUAACUACGUG